AACGAACGCUGGCGGCAUGCCUAACACAUGCAAGUCGAACGAGACCUUCGGGUCUAGUGGCGCACGGGUGCGUAACGCGUGGGAACCUGCCCUUAGGUUCGGAAUAACUCCCCGACAGGGGUGCUAAUACCGGAUAAUGUCCUCGGACCAAAGAUUUAUCGCCUUUGGAUGGGCCCGCGUUGGAUUAGCUAGUUGGUAGGGUAAAAGCCUACCAAGGCGGCGAUCCAUAGCUGGUCUGAGAGGAUGAUCAGCCACACUGGGACUGGGACACGGCCCGGACACCUGCGGGAGGCAGCAGUGGGGAAUAAUGGACAAUGGGCGAAAGCCUGAUCCAGCAGUGCCGCGUGAGUGAUGAAGGCCUUAGGGAUGUAAAGCUCUUUUACCCGGGAUGAUAAUGACAGUACCGGGAGAAUAAGCUCCGGCUAACUCCGU
RNAcentral lists this ribosomal RNA (432 nucleotides) under uncultured bacterium. RNAcentral describes it as "partial 16S ribosomal RNA". It matches the Rfam family "Bacterial small subunit ribosomal RNA", at positions 29 to 506 of the family's 1533-position model. The record is from RNAcentral.